AACGAACGCUGGCGGCAUGCCUAACACAUGCAAGUCGAACGAGACCUUCGGGUCUAGUGGCGCACGGGUGCGUAAUGCGUGGGAACCUGCCCUUAGGUUCGGAAUAACUCCCCGAAAGGGGUGCUAAUACCGGAUAAUGUCUUCGGACCAAAGAUUUAUCGCCUUUGGAUGGGCCCGCGUUGGAUUAGCUAGUUGGUAGGGUAAAAGCCUACCAAGGCGACGAUCCAUAGCUGGUCUGAGAGGAUGAUCAGCCACACUGGGACUGAGACACGGCCCAGACUCCUACGGGAGGCAGCAGUGGGGAAUAUUGGACAAUGGGCGAAAGCCUGAUCCUGCAAUGCCGCGUGAGUGAUGAAGGCCUUAGGGUUGUAAAGCUCUUUUACCCGGGAUGAUAAUGACAGUACCGGGAGAAUAAGCUCCGGCUAACUCCGUG
This 433-nucleotide ribosomal RNA is filed under the name uncultured bacterium. RNAcentral's name for it is "partial 16S ribosomal RNA". It matches the Rfam family "Bacterial small subunit ribosomal RNA", at positions 29 to 507 of the family's 1533-position model. The record is from RNAcentral.